CCACCUGCCCAUCGGUCUCUCCGUCCCCACCUGCUUCUUCUGGCAGUGGAGGGGGUGCUUAAGCAUCUGUUACACCUCAGCAGACAGGGGGUGGGCGGGCCUCAGACCCUGCUCUGUCUCAGAGCUGUUAUCACUUCAGCAUUCAAGUUCUAUCAGGUAGGCGCUGAGCCUGAGACGUGUGUGCUGUUUCCAGGACAGGGCGCCGGGGGACAAAGCCAGCGUGAGAGGCAGUGACACUUCUGUUAAGGCAACUAACCAGAGGUCACGUAACUAGCCCAAGGUCACAUAACUGGGAGGUGACAGAUUUGCUAUUUCAUUCAAGACUAUUUGACUCCAGAGGAUUCAUUGUUGACUACUAUACUGCUAAAGAGGAUGUUGAUGGAAGAGGAGAAUAAAAGAGUUUCGAAGGCUGUGAAAUAUGGAGAAGAAUAAUGAGACCUGCUACCCAGGUUGUUAGAAGACCUAACAGGUCUUCCAUAGGAAUGGACCACCACCGUGCGCUGAUCGCCACCUGCUGUGGACUGAGGGUUCACCACACCCCCACACUUCAAAAAAGAUAUGUUGAGCUGCUAACCCCCCGUAGCUGGGAACAUGAUUUUAUUCAGAAAUAGGGUCUUUGCAGAUUUCAUCAAGUCCAGAAGAGGCUGUCCAGAGUGGGCCCUGAUCUAACAGGAAGACGGCCUUGUGAUAACACAGAGACACAGGGAAAAGCCACGUGGAGAUGGAGGCAGAGACUGGAAUCAAGCAUCUCCAAGUGGAGGACAACCAAGAACCGCUGAUGUCACUGGGGGCUAGGAGAAAGGCCUGGACCAGACUCUCCCCCAGACCCCUAGAGGGAAUCAAUGCUGCCGAGGCUCUGAUUUUAGACUCCUGGCCUCCAGAGCUCUGAGAAUAAUUUUCUUUUAUUUUAAGUCACUCAGUUGGUGACCCUUUGUAACAGCCACUCUCCAGGACAUAAUACGCAUCUCAACUGAGAACUGUCUACAAAAGAAUUCUGUGUAAUGUUACAUAUAAAAUUUAACAAAAACACUGAA
Molecule: long non-coding RNA, 1034 nt
Organism: Dama dama (fallow deer)
Lineage: Eukaryota; Metazoa; Chordata; Mammalia; Artiodactyla; Cervidae
Exons: 4
Source: RefSeq, a predicted model, not a curated record